GGGGCUAUAGCUCAGCGGUUAGAGCAGAGGACUCAUAAUCCUUUGGUCCCCGGUUCAAAUCCGGGUGGCCCUA
This is a transfer RNA of Limnobacter sp. MED105, 73 nucleotides long. It matches the Rfam family "tRNA". From Rfam's summary of the family: Transfer RNA (tRNA) molecules are approximately 80 nucleotides in length. NCBI's taxonomy places the organism in Bacteria, Pseudomonadati, Pseudomonadota, Betaproteobacteria, Burkholderiales, Burkholderiaceae. The record is from Rfam.